ACGGGGUGCAGCAGGCGCGAAACCUCCGCAAUGUGAGAAAUCGCGACGGGGGGAUCCCAAGUGCCAUUCUUAACGGGAUGGCUUUUCAUUAGUGUAAAGAGCUUUUGGAAUAAGAGCUGGGCAAGACCGGUGCCAGCCGCCGCGGUAAUAC
Molecule: ribosomal RNA, 151 nt
Filed under: uncultured bacterium
Lineage: Bacteria
Description: partial 16S ribosomal RNA
Rfam family: Archaeal small subunit ribosomal RNA
Source: RNAcentral